AUACUUACCUGGACGGGGUCAAUGAGUGAUCAUGAAGGUCCAUGGCCUAGGCUUGUGACCUCCAUUGCACUUGGGAGGGGUGCUUGCUUAAGGUCUCCCCAAGAGGGAGAGCCUACGUCAUAAUUUAUUGUAGUGGGGACCUGCGUUCGCGCGGUCCCUUC
Molecule: small nuclear RNA, 161 nt
Filed under: Lupinus albus (white lupine)
Lineage: Eukaryota; Viridiplantae; Streptophyta; Magnoliopsida; Fabales; Fabaceae
Description: U1 spliceosomal RNA
Rfam family: U1 spliceosomal RNA
About the family: U1 is a small nuclear RNA (snRNA) component of the spliceosome (involved in pre-mRNA splicing). Its 5' end forms complementary base pairs with the 5' splice junction, thus defining the 5' donor site of an intron. There are significant differences in sequence and secondary structure between metazoan and yeast U1 snRNAs, the latter being much longer (568 nucleotides as compared to 164 nucleotides in human).
Source: RNAcentral